Trichoplusia ni (cabbage looper) is the source of this 134-nucleotide small nucleolar RNA. RefSeq annotates it as small nucleolar RNA SNORA53. The transcript has a single exon. NCBI's taxonomy places the organism in Eukaryota, Metazoa, Arthropoda, Insecta, Lepidoptera, Noctuidae. The record is from RefSeq and is a predicted model, not a curated record.
CGCACGCUCCUUAGAUCCGUUUCAUUUUCGAUGUGAAACGCUUGAGUCAUAAGUGUGCAAGAGCAUAAUACCUCCAUACUGAGACUGAUAUGUGAUUUUCUUAAGAUGUUCACUUGUCUCGGAAUGGGGAACAU